GAUGAACGCUGGCGGCGUGCCUAAUACAUGCAAGUAGAACGCUGAAGGAAGGAGCUUGCUCUUUCCGGAUGAGUUGCGAACGGGUGAGUAACGCGUAGGUAACCUGCCUGGUAGCGGGGGAUAACUAUUGGAAACGAUAGCUAAUACCGCAUAACAGUAGAUGUUGCAUGAUAUCUACUUAAAAGGUGCAAUUGCACCACUACCAGAUGGACCUGCGUUGUAUUAGCUAGUUGGUGAGGUAACGGCUCACCAAGGCGACGAUACAUAGCCGACCUGAGAGGGUGAUCGGCCACACUGGGACGGGGACACGGCCCAGACUCCUACGGGAGGCAGCAGUAGGGAAUCUUCGGCAAUGGACGGAAGUCUGACCGAGCAACGCCGAGUGAGUGAAGAAGGUUUUCGGAUCGUAAGGCUCUGUUGUAAGAGAAGAACGAGUGUGAGAGUGGAAAGUUCACACUGUGACGGUAUCUUACCAGAAAGGGACGGCUAACUACGUG
RNAcentral lists this ribosomal RNA (497 nucleotides) under uncultured bacterium. RNAcentral's name for it is "partial 16S ribosomal RNA". It matches the Rfam family "Bacterial small subunit ribosomal RNA", at positions 28 to 507 of the family's 1533-position model. The record is from RNAcentral.